GUCGAACGCUGGCGGCAUGCUUAACACAUGCAAGUCGAACGAAGAGGGGCACGGGUGAGUAAUACGUGUGUAACCUGCCCUCCUUGUGGGGAUAAGCCUUUGAAACGGGGUCUAAUAACGGAUAAAGGGGGGUGGGCUGUCGGCCUAUGAGCUUGUUGGUGGGGUGACGGCCGAACAAGGGGGUGACGGGUAGCUGGCAUGAGAGGGUGACCGGCAACAGUGGGACGGAGAAACGGCCCAGACGACUAAGGGAGGCAGCAGUGGGCGCUAUGGCAGAAGGCGAGAUAGCGUGAUGCAGCGUGGAUGAGUGGGGGCUGCAGGCUUUCGAGUUGUAAACGUAGUUAGGUAUCGAACGGUUAGGUGGAGAAGAAGCGCCGGCUAACUACGUGCCAGCAGCCGCGGUAAUUC
Molecule: ribosomal RNA, 408 nt
Filed under: uncultured bacterium
Lineage: Bacteria
Description: partial 16S ribosomal RNA
Rfam family: Bacterial small subunit ribosomal RNA
Source: RNAcentral